GCCUAACACAUGCAAGUCGAGCGGAAACGACACUAACAAUCCUUCGGGUGCGUUAAUGGGCGUCGAGCGGCGGACGGGUGAGUAAUGCCUAGGAAAUUGCCUUGAUGUGGGGGAUAACCAUUGGAAACGAUGGCUAAUACCGCAUAAUGCCUACGGGCCAAAGAGGGGGAUCUUCGGACCUCUCGCGUCAAGAUAUGCCUAGGUGGGAUUAGCUAGUUGGUGAGGUAAUGGCUCACCAAGGCGACGAUCCCUAGCUGGUCUGAGAGGAUGAUCAGCCACACUGGAACUGAGACACGGUCCAGACUCCUACGGGAGGCAGCAGUGGGGAAUAUUGCACAAUGGGCGAAAGCCUGAUGCAGCCAUGCCGCGUGUAUGAAGAAGGCCUUCGGGUUGUAAAGUACUUUCAGUUGUGAGGAAGGGGGUGUUGUUAAUAGCAACUAUACUUGGCGUUAGCAACAGAAGAAGCACC
RNAcentral lists this ribosomal RNA (469 nucleotides) under uncultured Gammaproteobacteria bacterium. RNAcentral's name for it is "bacterial SSU rRNA". It matches the Rfam family "Bacterial small subunit ribosomal RNA", at positions 46 to 494 of the family's 1533-position model. The record is from RNAcentral. Lineage: Bacteria; Pseudomonadati; Pseudomonadota; Gammaproteobacteria.